CGGAGAGAGCAGAUGUCUGUGGCCAAGCUCCUGCUUGGGAAACAGCCGCAGGCCACGACAGGCCUGCUGAGUCACCAGGCUGGACGAGCCUGCCCCGUGCCAGGUACCCUGAGGAGGACUGGCCAAGCCUGCCCCGUGCCAACUACCCUGAGGAGCCAAUGCUGGUGGAGAGCACCGAUGACAGCAAGAUGGCCCAGGAACCAUAUGAGGGGGAGUGUGGAAGUAGCCUGGGGUCAGCCGACCCCAGUCUGGCUGCUGCACUGCCAGAGCUGAUGUUAGUGUGUUGCGGCCAGGAUCACCACUGACAGCAAAAUCAAUCAUACCCAGAUCUGGAACAAAAUUAUCCAGUCAGAUCACCUAUGCAAAUGUGUACAUCCAGACUGGCUGCAGCUUUUCCCAGUCAGAACUCCUUGAACAUAAAUGAAUGACUAGUGCCAUGAUAAACUCCAUUAUCCUUAUCACACGGAACUUGAAAAGGACAAUCAGAUUACAAGCUGAAGAUGGUAAUGAGAAAGGCUUCUGCUAGUACUGCUACUCCCUGCCAAGAAAUACCCUCUUACGGUACUUUCUGUAAUGCUGUAGCUCAUUGCCCACUUGCACAUUAUUAUUGCUCAGUGAUAGCCAAAUCCUGCAGUCCUUGCUCUGGCAAAAUGUAUACUGACUUCUGUAGAGUGUUACCUGAUUAAGGACUGUGUAGGAAUGAAAGAAUCUGGGCUCAGAUCUCAAAAGUAUUUAGGUGCCUAACUCCCAUUGAUUUCAUGUAGCAGUGUAACUUCUUGCCCAAUAGCAAUGCAAGGCAUAAUACACUGUUACUCAGUUUGACCACUUCCCAGUAUUACUACAAGUAUUGCUUCUUGUUUACAAUGUCACCUGAAAGUGAGAACAGGCGUUCGCAUGGCACUGUUGUAGCUGACUUCGCAAGACAUUUACGUGCCAGAUGUGCUAACGAUUCACAUGUCCAUUCAUGCUUCAAUCAACAUUGCAGAGGACAUGCAUCCAUGCUGAUAUGGGUUCUGCUUGAUAACUAUCCAAAGCAGAACGGACCAACGCAUGUUCAUUUUCAUCAUCUGAGUCAGAUGCCACCAGCAGAAG
This is a long non-coding RNA of Trachemys scripta elegans, 1092 nucleotides long. RefSeq lists it as uncharacterized. The record is from RefSeq and is a predicted model, not a curated record. The transcript has 3 exons. NCBI's taxonomy places the organism in Eukaryota, Metazoa, Chordata, Testudines, Emydidae.